GCUGGCGUAAUGGCAGUUUGCGACCCGUCUUGAAACACGGACCAAGGAGUCUAACAUCUGUGCGAGUGUUUGGGUGUAAAACCCAUGCGCGUAAUGAAAGUGAACGGAGGUGGGAAGCGCAAGCUGCACCAUCGACCGAUCCUGAUGUCUUCGGAUGGAUUUGAGUAAGAGCAUAGCUGUUGGGACCCGAAAGAUGGUGAACUAUGCCUGAAUAGGGUGAAGCCAGAGGAAACUCUGGUGGAGGCUCGCAGCGGUUCUGACGUGCAAAUCGAUCGUCAAA
RNAcentral lists this ribosomal RNA (280 nucleotides) under Chaetoceros affinis. Its description in RNAcentral is "partial Eukaryotic large subunit ribosomal RNA". It matches the Rfam family "Eukaryotic large subunit ribosomal RNA", at positions 625 to 909 of the family's 3401-position model. Lineage: Eukaryota; Bacillariophyta; Thalassiosirophyceae; Chaetocerotales; Chaetocerotaceae. The record is from RNAcentral.